UCUAGUCUACAAUUCUCCAUGAACCUGGGGGUGCUGCUUCAGAAAGAGCCUAAAAAGUGUGUCCACUGGAUCAAAGGGCACCCGUGUCCACAGAUUCAGCAGUUACUGAGCAGAAAUCCUGCACUCAGCUUCUGGCUCCUCUUUGACUCCAGAGAGAGGCGUUGCCAUUUCCAGGUGGAAGUACCCUUUUUCUCCUGGUUCGGGUGCAACGUGUUCAAGAAAGUCUCGGGUCCUGUUUCUUCUCCCGAUGCCCUGCUGGCUGGGCGGUCUUAGCCCCUCUCCUGGGAGCUCCUGGAUCGUGUGCCGGGCUCCGCUGUUGAGACCCAAGGACAGAGUGGGCUCAUCCCACUAGAACGACCGCAAAGAAGAACACUCCUUCCCUGCAUCGGCGGCUUCGUGUCACAGGGGGCUUCAAACGGAAGAGGAGGAGGAGCCCACGCACAUACACGCAGGUGCACCACACGCACGCACACGCAUGCACACAGACGCCAGACUCUUCCAGCCGGAGCUACAGGACUUUGCGGACCUGGGCACGCAGCCCAUCCCUCUGCCCGUCCCUCUUUCCUCGGCCAGCAAGUCCCUGCAGGGCUGCACCUCUGUGGACGACAGUGGCCACACAAGCCAGGUCCUAGCUCUGUCCUGCGUCCCAGCCUUCUUAUUUUCAGGCUCAUUGCGCCUUCCAGAAGGAACGUCCAUACGCUCCGGCCCUGACGGAACUCUCGGACAUCCAGCCCUGUUUGAGCCCCGCUCAGGACAGCGGAUGCGUGUCGACUUGGAAGCCUGAGACUCUGGAAUUUGACUGGAGGGGAACUGGCCGAGGCUGGGCGCUGUGCAACCACAGAAACACUGCUGGUCUUUGCUCCUGGAUCUCCGGCAAUUUCUUGGGUGACAAGAGUGUCUGCUGAUAUCGCUGCCCAGCCCUUUCAGGCACACUUGACAGCGUCAGGGAGGGGCCGGUCACCAGAAGGGCCAAGUGGCCAGGGCUGGGAACCCGCUGGGGCG
This 1002-nucleotide long non-coding RNA is filed under the name Sus scrofa (pig). RNAcentral describes it as "lncRNA (ENSSSCG00015045681.1)". Lineage: Eukaryota; Metazoa; Chordata; Mammalia; Artiodactyla; Suidae. The record is from RNAcentral.